This 100-nucleotide ribosomal RNA is filed under the name Vibrio vulnificus. Its description in RNAcentral is "partial 16S ribosomal RNA". It matches the Rfam family "Bacterial small subunit ribosomal RNA", at positions 1443 to 1533 of the family's 1533-position model. Lineage: Bacteria; Pseudomonadati; Pseudomonadota; Gammaproteobacteria; Vibrionales; Vibrionaceae. The record is from RNAcentral.
CGGGAGGACGCUCACCACUUUGUGGUUCAUGACUGGGGUGAAGUCGUAACAAGGUAGCGCUAGGGGAACCUGGCGCUGGAUCACCUCCUUAUACGAUGAU